RNAcentral lists this ribosomal RNA (331 nucleotides) under Phyllocaulis soleiformis. RNAcentral's name for it is "eukaryotic LSU rRNA". It matches the Rfam family "Eukaryotic large subunit ribosomal RNA", at positions 1 to 313 of the family's 3401-position model. The record is from RNAcentral. Lineage: Eukaryota; Metazoa; Mollusca; Gastropoda; Systellommatophora; Veronicellidae.
UGUUACCAACUCCGACCUCAGAUCGGACGAGAUUACCCGCUGAAUUUAAGCAUAUAACUAAGCGGAGGAAAAGAAACUAACAAGGAUUUCCCCAGUAACGGCGAGUGAAGCGGAAAUAGCCCAGCACCGAAUCCCUCAGUGUCACGCUGACGGGAACUGUGGUGUGUGGGACGCCACCAGUCGCAUCAGUGGGCACCGAAGUCCUCCUGAUCGAGGCUUCACCCAGAGCGGGUGUAAGGCCUUUGCAGGUGCCCUACUGUGCGGCCGCGAGCGUCUCAGGAGUCGGGUUGUUUGGGAAUGCAGCCCAAAGCGGGUGGUAAACUCCAUCUAA